CGGGGGGGCAAGCGUUGUUCGGAAUUACUGGGCGUAAAGGGCGCGUAGGCUGUUCGCUAAGUUGGAUGUGAAAACUCUGGGCUUAACCCAGAGCCUGCAUCCAAAACUGGCGGGCUGGAGUUUUGGAGGGGGAAGCGGAAUUCCUGGUGUAGCAGUGAAAUGCGUAGAUAUCAGGAGGAACACCGGUGGCGAAGGCGGCUUCCUGGACAAAAACUGACGCUGAGGCGCGAAAGCUAGGGGAGCAAACAGGAUUAGAUACCCUGGUAGUCCUAGCCCUAAACGAUGGAUACUUGCUGUGAGGGGGAUUGAAUCCCUUCGUGGCGAAGCUAACGCAUUAAGUAUCCCGCCUGGGGAGUACGGUCGCAAGGCUG
This 371-nucleotide ribosomal RNA is filed under the name uncultured organism. RNAcentral's name for it is "bacterial SSU rRNA". It matches the Rfam family "Bacterial small subunit ribosomal RNA", at positions 527 to 896 of the family's 1533-position model. The record is from RNAcentral.